GGGUGGGGCCCUUGGAACAGCCUGUGGAUUCUGUUCAUAAUGAAAUAAAAACUGCUAAGACUUGUGCAGAGGAAAGCAUGGACAGUCAAAGGCAUCCUUGCUGCUGUGUGCUGCAGACAGUGGAGGAGUGAGCUCCUUAACAUAUUGUUUUCUUCAGUGGUGUGGUCCCUGCUGCAAUCCGUCAGUUCUCAACUGUCUCCCUUAUGUUGGCUUUCUUUGAACACCGGGAACCUUUGCAGUUUGAAGAACAUGAAGAUGCUUGCUGAUGCAUUUGCCUCAAACACAGGCUUAUUGUGCCACUUUCUUCUAGAGCUGAGCCAACUGUGGUUCGGAAGCCAGUAGAGGUGACGUUGCUGGGACACAAGGCUAGCACAAACUGACUCCCUACAGUGCACGUUCUACUGUGCUGUGUUCUUCUGACUCUAUGCUACAUUGGCAACCACCGGUUUCCUCCCAUUCUGCCAACCCUCUGGCUUGCUAGGAGUUUCCAUGGAGAAGAGGGUGGUAUCUUUUGGAGCUCCUCCAUUGAACACUCCCUGAUGCUCUACUCUGGCUGAGUCUCAGUUCUUGGUGGUUGUUUAUGAUAUUCAAGCAUCCGCACUGGCCUGUGAUGUCUCCCUGACUCCGUCCAUCCCAUCCUCUUACAGCUGUAUUCUUCCUCUCCUGGCACCAAGAGUGUCAGUCAUGCCGUGCAUCAGGGCCCUUCUGUGACGCACUGCAGCCUUUCAAGAGUGCCUCUUCCCCCACUGGAUGUGAUUUUCAAUAUUUAGAGAUGGCUCAGAUGGAAAAGUUCUUGUCACACAGCAUGCACACUGGGGUUUUGUUUUUAGAACCUAUAUAUAACUCAGGCAAGGCAAAUGGUCAGCCUGAAAUUCUAGCCAUCUAAAGGCAGAAACAAAAGAGCAAGCUUUGGCUAGCCAGACUAGCCAAAUCACGAAGACUAGCUCAAUUAGGAGAACCUGCCUCACUGAACACAGUGGGAACAACUGAGGAAGAUUCCCAGUAUCAACCUCUGACUUCACUCCAGACUUCAGUCUCCAACUUGCACAAAUGUCUGCAUGCAC
RNAcentral lists this long non-coding RNA (1064 nucleotides) under Mus spicilegus (steppe mouse). RNAcentral describes it as "lncRNA (ENSMSIG00000009218.1)". The record is from RNAcentral. Lineage: Eukaryota; Metazoa; Chordata; Mammalia; Rodentia; Muridae.